Molecule: unclassified non-coding RNA, 349 nt
Filed under: soil metagenome
Description: partial contains 5.8S ribosomal RNA, internal transcribed spacer 2, and large subunit ribosomal RNA
Rfam family: 5.8S ribosomal RNA (bases 1-120)
Source: RNAcentral
GAUGAAGAACGUAGCGAAACGCGAUAUGUAAUGUGAAUUGCAGAAUUCAGUGAAUCAUCGAAUCUUUGAACGCACAUGGCGCCUUCCAGUAUCCUGGGAGGCAUGCCUGUCCGAGCGUCGUUUCAACCCUCGAGCCCCCGUGGCCCGGCGUUGGGGAUCUGCCACGGCAGGCCCCUAAAACCAGUGGCGGACCCGAAGGCCCUCUCCUUUGCGCAGUAGCAUCAGCCUCGCAUUGGGAUCCCUCGGCGUCCUGCCUCUAAACCCCCCACAAGUCCGCUCCGGCGGCACCAAGGUUGACCUCGGAUCAGGUAGGAAUACCCGCUGAACUUAAGCAUAUCAAUACGGAGGA